This 92-nucleotide transfer RNA is filed under the name compost metagenome. RNAcentral's name for it is "tRNA-Ser". The record is from RNAcentral.
CCGACGCCUGUCGCAGCCAGGGUAUCGAGCGGCCGUUGCUGGUGACCGACAGCGGCCUGGCGCGCGCGCCGAUCACCACGGCGGCGCUGGAC